UAAUACGAAGGGGGCUAGCGUUAAUCGGAAUUACUGGGCGUAAAGCGCACGCAGGCGGUUUGUUAAGUCAGAUGUGAAAUCCCCGGGCUCAACCUGGGAACUGCAUUUGAAACUGGCAAGCUAGAGUCUCGUAGAGGGGGGUAGAAUUCCAGGUGUAGCGGUGAAAUGCGUAGAGAUCUGGAGGAAUACCGGUGGCGAAGGCGGCCCCCUGGACGAAGACUGACGCUCAGGUGCGAAAGCGUGGGGAGCAAACAGGAUUAGAUACCCUGGUAGUCCACGCUGUAAACGAUGUCGAUUUGGAGGUUGUGCCCUUGAGGCGUGGCUUCCGGAGCUAACGCGUUAAAUCGACCGCCUGGGGAGUACGGCCGCAAGAUUA
This 376-nucleotide ribosomal RNA is filed under the name uncultured Serratia sp. Its description in RNAcentral is "bacterial SSU rRNA". It matches the Rfam family "Bacterial small subunit ribosomal RNA", at positions 521 to 896 of the family's 1533-position model. The record is from RNAcentral. Lineage: Bacteria; Pseudomonadati; Pseudomonadota; Gammaproteobacteria; Enterobacterales; Yersiniaceae.